RNAcentral lists this ribosomal RNA (256 nucleotides) under uncultured Lactobacillus sp. Its description in RNAcentral is "partial 16S ribosomal RNA". It matches the Rfam family "Bacterial small subunit ribosomal RNA", at positions 277 to 524 of the family's 1533-position model. Lineage: Bacteria; Bacillati; Bacillota; Bacilli; Lactobacillales; Lactobacillaceae. The record is from RNAcentral.
UGAUGCAUAGCCGAGUUGAGAGACUGAUCGGCCACAUUGGGACUGAGACACGGCCCAAACUCCUACGGGAGGGCAGCAGUAGGGAAUCUUCCACAAUGGACGCAAGUCUGAUGGAGCAACGCCGCGUGAGUGAAGAGGGGUUUCGGCUCGUAAAGCUCUGUUGUUGGUGAAGAAGGACAGGGGUAGUAACUGACCUUUGUUUGACGGUAAUCAAUUAGAAAGUCACGGCUAACUACGUGCCAGCAGCCGUGGUAAU